This 1447-nucleotide long non-coding RNA is filed under the name Vulpes vulpes (red fox). RNAcentral describes it as "lncRNA (ENSVVUG00000025036.1)". Lineage: Eukaryota; Metazoa; Chordata; Mammalia; Carnivora; Canidae. The record is from RNAcentral.
GAGAGAGAGAGGCAGAGACACAGGCAGAGGGAGAGGGAGAAGCAGGCUCCAUGCACCGGGAGCCCGACGUGGGAUUCGAUCCCGGGUCUCCAGGAUCGUGCCCUGGGCCAAAGGCAGGCGCCAAACCGCUGCGCCACCCAGGGAUCCCUAGUUUAUUACUUCUUUGAAAAGGUUUUGAUCUCUUUACUUACUAUUAUUUUCAAUACUACAAGUUAUACACAAAAAUAGUAUUAAAGAAAUCUGGACUUUCCUUCCCUUAGGCAAAUGAUACUUAUAUAUUUAUUUUUGUUUAUAUUUCAGAAAAGACAACAGAGCCCUGCAGCAGAUAUUCAGCAACCAGAGGAACUGUUCAGAACAUUUCCAAACCUACAUCAUCUAUUAGAUUUGCUGAACCAAUUGGUAAGUGUUUUUCUUUUCUUCAAUUAUUAUGUCUUUCAGCUUAAAUAAUAGUCUGGAAUUUAUGGCUCAAGUGUUUUUUUAACUUAGAUAUAAUUAAUAUGCAACAUGGUAUUGGUUUUAAGUAUACCAUAUAAUGAUUUGAUAUUUGUAAACAUUUUUGAAAUGAUCACCAUAAUAUGUAUAGUUAACAUUGAUCAGCAUACAGAGUGGUAAUUUUUUUUCCUUGUGAUGAAAACUGUUAAGACCUACUUUCUUAGUUCUUUCAAAUAUACCAUAGAGCAUCAUUUUAUUUAUUUAUUUAUUUAUUUAUUUUUUAAUUUUGGAGAGAGAAAGUGAAGGGCGGGGGGAGAAUCUUAAGCAGGCUCCACACCCAGCAUGUAGCCCAACACAGGGCUCAAUCUCACAACCCUGAGGUCAUGACCUGAGCUGAGAUCAAGAGUACAACACUGAACCAACUGAGCCACCCAGGGACCCUACCACAUAAUAUAAUUAACUGUAGUCACCAUUCUGUAUAUUAUAUCCUCAUGACUUUUUUAUUUUAUACCUAGAGGUUUGUGCUUUUUAAUCAUUUUUACCCAUUUUACCCUCUCCCCUCCCUAACUCUGCCAACCACAGUAUGUUCUCUGUAUCCAAGAGUUCAGUAUUUUGCUUGUCCAGAUUCCUCAUAUAAGUGAGAUCACACAUUGUCUUUCUCUGACUUAUUUCAUUGAGCAUAAUGCCCUGUAAAUCCAUCCAUGCUGUUGUGUAUGCAAGAUUUCCUUUUUUAUGGCCGAAUAGUAUUCCUCUAUGUGUGUGUGUGUAUAUAUAUAUAUACCACAUUUUCUUUUUUUAGCUGGAGCUCCCCUUGAAAAUUUAUUUUUCAAAGUACUGGUGAAAGAUAGGUCUUCUGAACCUCCCAGGAUGGGUGUUUAUUUAAAUUCCAGUUAGUUAACAUACAGUGUAAUAUUAGUUUCAGGUAUAACAUAUACUGAUUCAACACUUCCCUACAACAGCAGGUGCUCAUCACAGCAAGGCACUCCUUAAUCUCCAUCAACCUAUUUCACCCAUC